RNAcentral lists this ribosomal RNA (116 nucleotides) under Pseudomonadota bacterium. Its description in RNAcentral is "Proteobacteria bacterium partial 16S ribosomal RNA". It matches the Rfam family "Bacterial small subunit ribosomal RNA", at positions 1421 to 1533 of the family's 1533-position model. The record is from RNAcentral. Lineage: Bacteria; Pseudomonadati; Pseudomonadota.
CAGAAGUAGUUAGCCUAACCGCAAGGAGGGCGAUUACCACGGCAGGGUUCGUGACUGGGGUGAAGUCGUAACAAGGUAGCCGUAUCGGAAGGUGCGGCUGGAUCACCUCCUUUCUG